GUGGGGUUGUGCCACUCUGCUAUAGUUGUUGUAUCUUUCAUCAUGUUGUGGUGUUACAUGUUGUUGUAACUGGUAGCAGAAAGGUAAGUGUCUCCAUGCUCUUGUGAGAUGCUGCCUGUGGAUCUGGCUGUGCAGUAAAACCAGUAAGUGCCAGAAACUUGUGAUGGGCCUCAGCAAAAUGAAUCCUCCUGAGGAGACAGAGCACCUCUCAACCUAACAGUUUCCUAUGUCCAGAGCAGUUCCUAGGUAUGUUCCAGGGAAAGGCAUUUUAUCUGACCAGCUGUACAGUGUACAGACACAAACCACAGCCAGCGUGUGUGCAAGCUCCUGGUUUGUUGCAUGAGCCUGAGCUUUUUGACUCCCAGUGCACAGUGGGAGUUAACAAGCUUUCAAGGUACUUUGCAUGAGCUCAAAUAUUGAUCAGCUCUGCUGCUAUUUGCAUUAUGUGUGCUGUUGCCCAGCAAAAAGUGUGGUUUCUGUUCUGAUUUCUUAUCUCUCAUUCAUUAACCUUUAAUCAACAGAAGCAAAUAGUUUCUCCCAUGUCAUCUCUAUUUUACUAUGCUAAAAGCAGCUAUUUAUGUAGCUGCUGUGUGUAACGUUGUAGACCAGAAUGCUCUUCUUAUGAAGGGCUUAUGGUCCAACUGCACGUGGGAUUUGAGUGGCAAAUGAGAAUCCUCUGCAAAUCAUCUGUCGCUUCUUUGUAAGCCCCGCUUCCCUUCCUUACGUCUGCAUUUGGACUGGGGAUAAUGAACUUCCUGUAUCAUGCACUGCGACACAAGGACACCCAUUGUAUGCGAACCAAGGAAGAGUGUAUCAGUGAGUGGUUUGUAAGGCAGCUCUGACGGGUCUUGUUAGAAUGACUUACUCUCAGAGUUCCAGUGGUUUGAUUAAGUGGAUCAUGUGAUAAGCACUUAUAAUGAACUUCUUCACAUGCUGCCAGGGGAGGCCCGGCAGAUAAAGUGCUUAAUCCCACGGCUAUUGCUCUGUGCAUAACAAACUGAUUGCAAAGACAGAAGAGUCGUACAAUUCAUUGGUUUCUACUAUGCAGGACAGCACAACAGCGUUAUACAAUUUUCUUUCUGCUGCCCAAGUCAAAAUAUCCUUGCUACUAAAUCCAGUUCAAACUAGCACACUUUUCCUCCCGCAGCUCACCAAGCUCUCAGCCAGGCAGGUCAAGGCUGAAUGUAACCACCUGCAGCAAGCCUAGGCUUGCUUCUGAGUGAUUUCUUUCUUAUUAAAGAAAACAGACCCCUCAGAAACAACAACAAACAAGACCAGGGCAUAAACUCCUGAGUAACCCCAGCUAGUUUGUUUUAAAAAUAAAAAUCUAGGUCAGCCUGAAUCACCGCAGGGGUAAUCUUCAUUUCACUGCAAACAGCAGCAGAGGUCAACAAGCCAGCCUCACAUGGGGCAUCUCUUGCAGUUUUGGCUGAAACCUAUGGGACCGAUGACCAGGGUGAUGUAUGGAUGUUGAACACGGAAGGAUUUUACUCCAUGCUUAAAACAAUUCAGAUUUCCUGUGUAGGCCUAUCCCCAGGGACUGAAAACCUGGUGUAGACAACUCAUAAAUAAAGCGAGUGAGACAUGAGCAAGAAAAAGCAUGGCGUACUUCUGGGAAUCACUCCAGGAAAAUAAAUGUGCAAGAUGGCACAUCACCCUACACAAAGCUGGCAAAGGCUUUCCCAUGUGUCAAAUGACCCAGAUACUUCAACAUUUCCUGAACUGCGCUCCCGAUGAAGGACAGGAUAAGGUGGGACAGGAGAGGAUACAGUAGAGGAAUGACCUACAGUGUUCUGUACUUUGUUCUUGAUAUGAGCAGAGUAACCUCCCUCAAAGCACCUACUGUGAAAUCUGCAGUCCAUGACAAGGUUCCAAGGCCUGGCAAGAUACCUGAGUCAGCAGAGCAUGCCUGCCCACCUGGAGUCUAUAAUAUCAGCAGGCACAUCAGCUUAAUGCUCAAAAGAACAGCAUGAAUGCGUUUCUCCAGCCAUGAGAAAGAGUGUUAAAUUUGUGCAAUUUUCCCCUACAUUCUCCAAACAGUUACGUAAAACCAGCCCAUAUUUCCCUCUUACUAUGGGGUGAAUAUAAUUCUCUCUGAAAAAAAAAAUCUGCUUCUGAAAGAAGAUGUUAAUUUGCAGGAAUGAUUAAUAGUUCUGCUGACUGCUAGAAAUCCAGCUAGAGCAGUUAGAGUAUGGUGGCUUUACAGGAGAGGGAUAAAGUUUAUUAGAUUUUCUGUAACUGAGUGUCCUCAGCUGAACCUACCAACCCUUUGCUGUGCAAGGAUUGUAACUCCCGCUGCAGUUGGAUCAGCCUCCAUUUCUAUUUUUAGUGCAGAUCUUGCUCCUUAUUUAGCCCUGAUUGCACAGCCAGAACUGCGUUCUCAGCAGCUCAGUGAAAAGCCUGCCUGUUCCAUUUUAUAACUUUUCCAGACAAAAAGAUGGGAAGCCUGCAGCUUUCCAAACACUCUUAUUUUUAAGAGCUUGCAAUACGAUACAGCCUAAAACCCAAGGGCUGAAUGAAUCCCUGCUGAAAUACUAUUGAAUUUUCCGGAGUUUUAUUCAGCAUUAAUUUGGCUGCUCGUAAGAUACUUGGGAGAUUAAAACAUUAACAAAACAAACAACUCCCUCCCCUCACCCCA
Long non-coding RNA from Coturnix japonica (Japanese quail), 2638 nucleotides. RefSeq lists it as uncharacterized. Lineage: Eukaryota; Metazoa; Chordata; Aves; Galliformes; Phasianidae. The record is from RefSeq and is a predicted model, not a curated record.